AAUUGGAGGGCAAGUCUGGUGCCAGCAGCCGCGGUAAUUCCAGCUCCAAUAGCGUAUAUUAAAGUUGUUGCAGUUAAAAAGCUCGUAGUUGAAUUUCGGGAUCAGUACGCUGGUCGUGCCUCCGGUAUGUACUGGUGUCACUGAUUCCUCCCUUCUGAAGAACCAUCAUGCCAUUAAUUUGGUGUGGUGGGGAAUCAGGACUGUUACUUUGAAAAAAUUAGAGUGUUUAAAGCAGGCUCGCGCUUGAAUACAUUAGCAUGGAAUAAUGAAAUAGGACGUUUAUCCUAUUUUGUUGGUUUCUAGGAUUGACGUAAUGAUUAAUAGGGAUAGUUGGGGGCAUUAGUAUUCAAUUGUCAGAGGUGAAAUUCUUGGAUUUAUUGAAGACUAACUACUGCGAAAGCAUUUGCCAAGGAUGUUUUCAUUAAUCAAGAACGAAAGUUAGGGGAUCGAAGACGAUCAGAUACCGUCGUAGUCUUAACCAUAAACUAUGCCGACUAGGGAUCGGAUGAUGUUAAUUUUUUAAUGACUCAUUCGGCGCCUUACGGGAAACCAAAGUGU
Molecule: ribosomal RNA, 558 nt
Filed under: uncultured Glomus
Lineage: Eukaryota; Fungi; Glomeromycota; Glomeromycetes; Glomerales; Glomeraceae
Description: SSU rRNA
Rfam family: Eukaryotic small subunit ribosomal RNA
Source: RNAcentral